This is a long non-coding RNA of Sebastes umbrosus (honeycomb rockfish), 370 nucleotides long. RefSeq lists it as uncharacterized. NCBI's taxonomy places the organism in Eukaryota, Metazoa, Chordata, Actinopteri, Perciformes, Sebastidae. The transcript is spliced from 4 exons. The record is from RefSeq and is a predicted model, not a curated record.
CACACCGCCUAAUCCUGGAACAGGACGUCAAUGGGCUACGGCAGACAGAGGAGUUAUUAAGCCCUCUCCUGACUACCAAACACAGAUUACAUAGAGGUCGUCUGAUGUAUGCAAGUUGUGACUAACAGCCAGACAGACAGCAUUUAUGCUUUCCAUUGAGGGUUUCCUGGACCUAGAUCUGCCCUGAAUAUACGUCACAAUCGAUCUACGCUGCAGUGGCUGACCUGAUAGAAACCCUGAAGCUGUUAUAAGGUUUGGAGUUUCACGACUUGUUCACCUACAUCUUUGCUCUCGCGACAGUCCCCGCAGAUGCAUCCCAAGCAGCCGUUUACCACCUGGAUGCCGCAGAGCACCAGCUGCACCAACCCCA